This 630-nucleotide ribosomal RNA is filed under the name uncultured bacterium. RNAcentral's name for it is "bacterial SSU rRNA". The stretch from base 1 to 540 matches the Rfam family "Bacterial small subunit ribosomal RNA", at positions 338 to 873 of the family's 1533-position model. The record is from RNAcentral.
CCUACGGGAGGCAGCAGUGGGGAAUUUUGGACAAUGGGCGAAAGCCUGAUCCAGCAAUGCCGCGUGAGUGAAGAAGGCCUUCGGGUUGUAAAGCUCUUUUGUCAGGGAAGAAACGGUGAAAGCUAAUAUCUUUUGCUAAUGACGGUACCUGAAGAAUAAGCACCGGCUAACUACGUGCCAGCAGCCGCGGUAAUACGUAGGGUGCAAGCGUUAAUCGGAAUUACUGGGCGUAAAGCGUGCGCAGGCGGUUUUGUAAGUCUGAUGUGAAAUCCCCGGGCUCAACCUGGGAAUUGCAUUGGAGACUGCAAGGCUAGAAUCUGGCAGAGGGGGGUAGAAUUCCACGUGUAGCAGUGAAAUGCGUAGAUAUGUGGAGGAACACCGAUGGCGAAGGCAGCCCCCUGGGUCAAGAUUGACGCUCAUGCACGAAAGCGUGGGGAGCAAACAGGAUUAGAUACCCUGGUAGUCCACGCCCUAAACGAUGUCUACUAGUUGUCGGGUCUUAAUUGACUUGGUAACGCAGCUACGCGUGAGUAGACCGCCGUCGGGAGGUACGGUCGCGAGAGUUAAACGUUAAAGUAGUAGUUAGUACGGCGUGAGACGUAGACCGACGGACGACGACGAGGGAGGAGG